UACAGAGGUGCCAAGCGUUAGGCGGAAUCACUGGGCUUAAAGCGUGUGUAGGCGGAUCGUUAAGUGCUUUGUGAAAUCCCCCGGCUCAACCGGGGAACUGCUUGGCAUACUGGCGAUCUUGAGCCACCUAGGGGCAACUGGAACAAACGGUGGAGCGGUGAAAUGCGUAGAUAUCGUUUGGAACGCCAAUGGUGAAAACAGGUUGCUGGGGGUGUGCUGACGCUGAGACACGAAAGCCAGGGGAGCAAACGGG
Molecule: ribosomal RNA, 253 nt
Filed under: uncultured bacterium
Lineage: Bacteria
Description: partial 16S ribosomal RNA
Rfam family: Bacterial small subunit ribosomal RNA
Source: RNAcentral